RNAcentral lists this small nucleolar RNA (129 nucleotides) under Dasypus novemcinctus (nine-banded armadillo). Its description in RNAcentral is "Small nucleolar RNA SNORA31 (ENSDNOG00000030590.1)". It matches the Rfam family "Small nucleolar RNA SNORA31". From Rfam's summary of the family: ACA31 (SNORA31) belongs to the H/ACA class of snoRNAs which are thought to guide the sites of modification of uridines to pseudouridines. ACA31 is predicted to guide the pseudouridylation of U3713 in 28S rRNA and U218 in 18S rRNA. This family includes the mouse homologue snoMBI-161. Lineage: Eukaryota; Metazoa; Chordata; Mammalia; Cingulata; Dasypodidae. The record is from RNAcentral.
AUACAUCUCUGUCAGACCUGGAGCAGUUAAUGUCUGCUGCUGAGGUUUCUACUACAGAUGCAAUAGAAAGAUGGUCCUUGCACUUUCUGUCUGGUUGUGGCAGCCAAGAUUGAGUGGGGGAAUACAGGA